GAUGAACGCUGGCGGCGUGCCUAACACAUGCAAGUCGAACGAGCAAACGAGGAGCUUGCUCUCCUGACGUUAGCGGCGGACGUAUGAGUGACACGUGGAUAACCUACUUAUUAAACUGGGAUAACUUCGGGAAACAGGAGCUGAUACCGCUGCAUAUAUCGAACCGCAGGACACAGUAGUGAAACACGGUUUUGCAGACACUUAUAGAUGGAGCCGCGCCCGAUUAGCUAGUGGGUAAGGGAACGGCUUACCAAGGCAACGAUGCGUAGCCGACCUGAGAGGGUGAUCGGCCACCCUGGAACUGAGACACGGCCCAGACUCCGACGGGAGGCAGCAGUAGGGAAUCUUCCGCGAUGGGGCAAAGCCUGACGGAGCAACACCGCGUGAGUGAUGAAGGACCUCCGAUCGUAAAACGCUGUUAUUAGGGAAGAACAAAUGUGCAAUCAACUAUGCACGUAGUGACGGUACCUAACCAGGAAGCCCCGGCUAACUACGUG
RNAcentral lists this ribosomal RNA (497 nucleotides) under uncultured bacterium. Its description in RNAcentral is "partial 16S ribosomal RNA". It matches the Rfam family "Bacterial small subunit ribosomal RNA", at positions 28 to 507 of the family's 1533-position model. The record is from RNAcentral.